RNAcentral lists this non-coding RNA (95 nucleotides) under bovine gut metagenome. The record is from RNAcentral.
AAAGGGGUGCCUUUCCUGCCUUGGCAGGUGAAAUCGGCUGAGAUCAUACCCUCUAACCUGAUUCGGGUAAUGCCGGCGUAGGGAUUGGAUAUUUU